CAACAUCUUGAAGAGAAGCGGCUCUGUCUUUAAGACUUAUCUACAUAAUCAGGAAAAAUAAGAGCUCUGGGAAGGCUGAAGAUGAAGCCAGGAACGGGAAACAGCAGCAGAGCACACACAAACACGAGGCCACCUGGCUUCUUGCCAUCAUACAUGACAUUCAAUUAUUUGAGUACUUUUUCAUGAGACUUUUCCCUCCACCCAGCUUUUCCUCCCCUCUCCAGACCCUUGCUUUUCUACAUUUGGCAUAGUUCAUCUGAUUCAGCACGCAUUUUUCCUCGCUGUACUCAGUAAUAGGUCUCAAACUCUCACCACAAAAAGAAAGUGCUAAGAUUAAAGUUCUUGCAAUACUAUCUUGACAUUCCCAGUAUUACUCUAUAAGUGUGACGUUUCUUUCAAUAAGCUGAGAAGGAAAGGAACUAGAAUGGUCUACAUACACAUUGCUUCAACUGCUGCUUUGAUGUAUGUACUCAAAAUAUUUUUCAUUUCCCAGAAUAUAUUCUCAUGGGGGGGGGGACAUUAACUGCAGCUUUUAGGCCGUGAGAAUUUCUUUUAAAUAUAAAAUAAGUUAAAAAAACAAUAAAAUAAGUCAAGCUGAC
Molecule: long non-coding RNA, 599 nt
Filed under: Mustela putorius furo (domestic ferret)
Lineage: Eukaryota; Metazoa; Chordata; Mammalia; Carnivora; Mustelidae
Description: lncRNA (ENSMPUG00000024620.1)
Source: RNAcentral